This is a non-coding RNA of Podarcis lilfordi (Lilford's wall lizard), 66 nucleotides long. NCBI's taxonomy places the organism in Eukaryota, Metazoa, Chordata, Lepidosauria, Squamata, Lacertidae. The record is from the annotation of a GenBank genome assembly.
CUGGCGUAAUGGGUGAAUGCAUCUGGCUGUUAACCAGAUGGUUAGUGGUUUGAGCCAACUCUAUGA